Molecule: long non-coding RNA, 617 nt
Organism: Homo sapiens (human)
Lineage: Eukaryota; Metazoa; Chordata; Mammalia; Primates; Hominidae
Gene: YAE1-DT
Product: YAE1 divergent transcript
Exons: 3
Source: RefSeq, marked validated
GAAGACGGCGAGUGGAGGCUCGGGAGGGGCUGCGUGUGCGCGGAGGCGGGCUGUGGCCCGUGGCCGCCGCCGGAGCCUUUCGCUUGCGGUGAUUUUGGGCUCCCUCGGUUGGCAGUGUUGAUGUGUGCCUGUGAGUUGUGAGCGAGGCAGAUUUCCUCGCGUGGCCGGCACGACCUUCACCUUUGCAGAAGGCAACCGGGACCCUCAGUUGAUUCCAGUUCAAAAGUUGCUGUGGUCCUGGAAAUGAGGAUUCUGGGCAAAACAAGAAAUUGGGUGAAUGUCUCUCUGUCACUCAGGCUGGAGUACAGUGGUGUGAUCUUGGCUUACUGCAACCUCGGCCUCCUGGGUUCAAACAAUUCUCCUGCCUCAGCCUCCUGAGUAGCUGGAAUUACAGGCACGCACCACCACGCCUGGAUAAUUUUCAUGUUUUUAGUAGAGACAGGGUUUCACCGUGUUGGCCAGGCUGGUCUCGGACUCCUGACCUCAGGUGAUCCACCCGCCUCAGCCUCCCAAAGUGCUGGGAUUACAGGUGUGAGCCACCUCGCCCAGCCAAUAUUUUGUAUGUUAAAUACAUUAUGUGCUUCAUUCUUACAAUAAAGUCAGCUAGAGAAAGAAAA